Long non-coding RNA from Lutra lutra (Eurasian river otter), 2136 nucleotides. RefSeq lists it as uncharacterized. The record is from RefSeq and is a predicted model, not a curated record. The transcript is spliced from 3 exons. NCBI's taxonomy places the organism in Eukaryota, Metazoa, Chordata, Mammalia, Carnivora, Mustelidae.
CCAGGGGGGAAAGACUACAGGCCAGUCCAGGACUUGAGGGAGGUAAAUAAGAGAAUAGAAGACAUCCACCCCACGGUCCCCAACCCUUAUACCUUGCUAAGUCACUUGCCCCCUUCACAUGUUUGGUACACCACCCUAGACCUAAAGGAUGCUUUCUUUAGCAUAGCCCUGGCACCCAGCAGCCAACACAUUUUUGCCUUUGAACGGCAUGAUGACAACACGGGAACUCCCAGACAGUUGACCUGGACUAGACUGCCACAAGGCCUCAAAAACUCUCCAUUUCUGUUUAAUGAAGCCUUAAAUCAGGACUUGGACUCGUUUCGCCGGAGCCAUGAUUCAGUUGCGCUCCUGCAAUACGUAGAUGACUUGCUUCUGGCAGCCCCCACCAAGGCCGAGUGUCACUGGAGACCUCCUCCAGGAGCUGGGACAAUUGGGCUAUUGGGCCAGCACAAAGAAAGCCCAAAUAUGCAGGCAGACAGUCACCUACCUGGGGUAUAAAUUGAAGGAAGGGACCAGAUGGUUAACAGAGGCCAUGAAAGAGACUAUUCUCAGGCUCCCAGUCCCAACCUCGCCCGAGAAGUCCGUGAGUUUCUAGGAACAGCGGGCUACUGCCAGCUAUGGAUUCCGGGGUAUGCUGAGAUAGCGAAGCCCCUGUAUGAGGCAACCAAGGAUAAGGCCCCCUGGGCCCCGGGGGCCAAAACAGCAAAAGGCCUUUGACGAACUCAAGACCGCCCUCUUAAAGGCACCAACCCUGCGUUGCCAGACCCCCUGAAGUCCUUCACCCUCUUAGUCGACGAGAGGAGGGGGAUAGCGAAAGGGGUACUGACGAGAGGAGGGGGAUAGCGAAAGGGGUUCUGAUGCAGCGCCUGGGGCCAUGGAAGCGUCCGGUUGCCUAUUUACCCAAAAGACUAGACCCGGUCUAGCAGGAUGGCCCCCAUGUCUAAGGAUCAUCGCAUCAGUAGCCCUAAUGGUAGAGGACGCAAACUCACUUUCGGGCAGCAUCUGAAGGUAGUAACUCCUCAUGCGAUCGAGGGGGUCCUAAAACACCCCCCUGGUAAGUGGAUGACUAAUACCCGUCUGACCCAUUACCAAGGACUCUUGUUAGAUGCACCCCGGAUCAUCUUUGCGGGACCAGCCGCCCUAAACCCAGCCACCCUGCUGCCGACCCCGGAUCUAGAAGCCCCCCUACAUGACUGCCAGAAAUCAUGACCGAAAUCACCCAGGUGCGCCCCGACCUCCAGGACACCGCCCUCCCCAACAGUGAGCUGGAAUGGGACACUGACGGGAGCAGCUGCAUCAUGGACGGGGUGCGAAGGGCGGGUGCGGCGGUGGUGGACCGAGGCGGGGAUGUCGUUUGGAGUGCCUCGCUUCCCCCCCGCCCCCCCGGGGGCUGAUUGCGCUGGCGGAGGCGCUAGAACGGGCUGAAGGGAGACCAGUGACUGUCUACACCGAGAGUCGCUACGCUUCGCCACUGUCCGUGUGCACGGCGCCAUCUACGGGAGAGGGGCUUUGUUACAGCGGAAGGAAAAGAGCUACGCAACCUCCCAGAGGUACAGGGUUGCCGGCGGCGGGCCGUGCAAAAGCCCGGGGCAGUCGCGGUUGUUCACGUCCCUGGACCCCAGUCUGCCCGAACCUCGGAGGCCGAGGGAAACCGACGAGCGGAUGAGGCCACCAAAAGGCGGCAAUAGCUUUACCAAUUCUGGCACCCGCCCUGCCCGCACCCGAGCUUCCGCGCCUACCCCCGCGACCUGACCUGACUCUGGGUGCACCCCAGAGGACCUACAGUGGAUCCAGAACCACCACUGCCUAGAGCCUGAUCAGCAUGGGUGGCAUCGGGACCCAGAGGGAGACUAAUAUUGCCGGGAAAACUGGGGACUGUGCCUCCUUUCCAGCCUGCACCCAGCCACCCAUUUAGGAAAGAUAAAGUUGCUGACAGCUCUCGAGUCCGCCUUAAGUUCCCCGAAAAGCCACCCAGAUCCAGGAAAUCGUGGACCAAUGUGUUGGGUGCCAGGCUAUGAAACCCAGUAGGAAGGGACCCCUACAUACAGGUUGACGGCAUUGGGCCUUGGGUCCAUCACUCCCACGUACGCCGAGCCACCCAGCCGGAGCAGAGACAAGCCAGGGAGUGCACUGUGA